This 22-nucleotide microRNA is filed under the name Brassica napus (rape). RNAcentral describes it as "bna-miR6030". The record is from miRBase by way of RNAcentral. Lineage: Eukaryota; Viridiplantae; Streptophyta; Magnoliopsida; Brassicales; Brassicaceae.
UCCACCCAUACCAUACAGACCC